Molecule: non-coding RNA, 206 nt
Organism: Caenorhabditis elegans
Lineage: Eukaryota; Metazoa; Nematoda; Chromadorea; Rhabditida; Rhabditidae
Source: Ensembl
UUCCAAUCUCUAACCGAUAACAUCUUUAGUACCGAUGUAUCAUAACACCUGUCACCCAUAGACACACACACAUAUAUAGACCCUUCCUGGCCGAGAUGAGGGGUACAUAAACACAUGCGGUAAGACUGUUAACCCCGCCCUCAAAAUACUGCUUCUCGGUCUGCGUCUCACCCUUCUAGUUGAUGUGGGAGGAUCCUUGUAGCUUU